RNAcentral lists this ribosomal RNA (427 nucleotides) under uncultured prokaryote. RNAcentral describes it as "bacterial SSU rRNA". It matches the Rfam family "Bacterial small subunit ribosomal RNA", at positions 355 to 774 of the family's 1533-position model. The record is from RNAcentral.
UGGGGAAUUUUGGACAAUGGGGGAAACCCUGAUCCAGCAAUGCCGCGUGAGUGAAGAAGGCCUUCGGGUUGUAAAGCUCUUUUGUCAGGGAAGAAACGGCAGGUGUUAAUACCAUCUGUUAAUGACGGUACCUGAAGAAUAAGCACCGGCUAACUACGUGCCAGCAGCCGCGGUAAUACGUAGGGUGCGAGCGUGAAUCGGAAUUACUGGGCGUAAAGGGUGCGCAGGCGGUUGUACAAGACGGAUGUGAAAUCCCCGGGCUUAACCUGGGAAUGGCAUACGUGACUGUACGGCUAGAGUGUGUUAGAGGGGGGUAGAAUUCCACGUGUAGCAGUGAAAUGCGUAGAUAUGUGGAGGAAUACCGAUGGCGAAGGCAGCCCCCUGGGAUAACACUGACGCUCAUGCACGAAAGCGUGGGGAGCAAACA